GACGAACGCUGGCGGCGUGCUUAACACAUGCAAGUCGAACGGGCCCGCUCUCUUUUUUGGGGGUGGGUUGAGUGGCGAACGGGUGAGUAUCACGUGAGUAACCUGCCCCCUGCUCCUGGAUAACUGCUUGAAAGGGCGGCUAAUACGGGGUGUGCCGGCUGGUCCGCAUGGGCCUGGUCGGGAUAGUUUCAUCUUCGGGUGUUUCGGUGGGGGAUGGGCUCGCGGCCUAUCAGCUUGUUGGUGGGGUGAUGGCCCACCAAGGCGGUGACGGGUAGCCGGCCUGAGAGGGUGGGCGGCCACACUGGGACUGAGACACGGCCCAGACUCCUGCGGGAGGCAGCAGUGGGGGGUAUUGCACAAUGGGCGGAAGCCUGAUGUAGCGACGUCGCGUGAGGGAUGGAGGCCUUCGGGUUGUGAACCUCUUUCUCCGGUGGUGAAGGCCCUGUCCGUUGCGGCGGGGUUGACGGUAGCCGGGGAUGAAGCGCCGGCUAACUACGUG
Molecule: ribosomal RNA, 499 nt
Filed under: uncultured bacterium
Lineage: Bacteria
Description: partial 16S ribosomal RNA
Rfam family: Bacterial small subunit ribosomal RNA
Source: RNAcentral